RNAcentral lists this unclassified non-coding RNA (375 nucleotides) under soil metagenome. RNAcentral's name for it is "partial contains 5.8S ribosomal RNA, internal transcribed spacer 2, and large subunit ribosomal RNA". The stretch from base 1 to 120 matches the Rfam family "5.8S ribosomal RNA", at positions 35 to 154 of the family's 154-position model. The record is from RNAcentral.
GAUGAAGAACGUAGCGAAAUGCGAUAAGUAAUGUGAAUUGCAGAACUCAGUGAACCAUCGAAUCUUUGAACGCACAUUGCGCCCGGCAGUAAUCUGCCGGGCAUGCCUGUCCGAGCGUCAUUUCUCCCCUCGAGCGCAGCUUUCCCCCCCGGGGGAGGGCCGCGCCCGGUGUUGGGGCGCUACGGAGGAGCCCAGCGCUCCCCCGUAGGCCCCGAAAUGUAGUGGCGGUCCCGCCGCGGCGCCCCCUGCGUAGUAGUUUUACAACUCGCAUCGGGUCCCGGCGGAGGCCAGCCGUCAAACCCCCCAACUUCAAUAGUUUGACCUCGGAUCAGGUAGGGUUACCCGCUGAACUUAAGCAUAUCAAUAAGCGGAGGA